GACGAACGCUGGCGGCGUGCUUAACACAUGCAAGUCGAGCGGUAAGGCCCUUUCGGGGUACGACGAGCGGCGAACGGGUGAGUAACACGUGGGUGACCUGCCCUCCAGCUCUGGGAUAAGCCUGGGAAACCGGGUCUAAUACUGGAUAUGACUCCAUGACGCAUGUUGUGGGGUGGAAAGCCUUGUGCGGCUGAGGAUGGGCCCGCGGCCUAUCAGCUUGUUGGUGGGGUGAUGGCCUACCAAGGCGACGACGGGUAGCCGGCCUGAGAGGGCGACCGGCCACACUGGGACUGAGACACGGCCCAGACUCCUACGGGAGGGCAGCAGUGGGGAAUCUUGCGCAAUGGGCGAAAGCCUGACGCAGCGACGCCGCGUGAGGGAUGACGGCCUCGGUUGUAAC
RNAcentral lists this ribosomal RNA (400 nucleotides) under uncultured bacterium. RNAcentral describes it as "bacterial SSU rRNA". It matches the Rfam family "Bacterial small subunit ribosomal RNA", at positions 28 to 429 of the family's 1533-position model. The record is from RNAcentral.